AAGACUAUAGACCUGCGGAGUACCUGCGGAGGGAUCAUUACAGGACUCGCAAGACUCCUACAACCCUGUGAACCUACUAUACGAACGUUGCUUCGGCGGGUGCGCCCCGGGGAUUCGUUCCCGCGGCGCGUCAGCCCGCCGGCAGCCUACAAAUUCUGUUUCUUUGCGUUGGCAUCUCGAGAAAAACAAAUAAGUUAAAACUUUUAACAACGGAUCUCU
RNAcentral lists this unclassified non-coding RNA (219 nucleotides) under soil metagenome. RNAcentral's name for it is "partial contains 5.8S ribosomal RNA, internal transcribed spacer 2, and large subunit ribosomal RNA". The record is from RNAcentral.